UAUGAAGCUUAUCCAUGCUGCUACUCACA
RNAcentral lists this non-coding RNA (29 nucleotides) under Rattus norvegicus (Norway rat). Lineage: Eukaryota; Metazoa; Chordata; Mammalia; Rodentia; Muridae. The record is from RNAcentral.